Molecule: ribosomal RNA, 793 nt
Filed under: uncultured Alphaproteobacteria bacterium
Lineage: Bacteria; Pseudomonadati; Pseudomonadota; Alphaproteobacteria
Description: bacterial SSU rRNA
Rfam family: Bacterial small subunit ribosomal RNA
Source: RNAcentral
UGCCUCAUACAUGCAAGUCGAACGAGGUUUUCGGACCUAGUGGCGCACGGGUGAGUAACAUGUGGGAAUCUACCUGAAGGUUCGGAAUAACUGCGGGAAACUGUAGCUAAUACCGGAUGUGUCUGAAAAGAGAAAGAUUUAUCGCCUUCAGAUGAGCCCGCACUAGAUUAGCUAGUUGGUGAGGUAACUGCUCCACCAAGGCUACGAUCUAUAGCUGAUUUGAGAGGAUGAUCAGCCACACUGGGACUGAGACACGGCCCAGACUCCUACGGGAGGCAGCAGUAGGGAAUAUUGGACAAUGGGGGAAACCCUGAUCCAGCAAUGCCGCGUGAGUGAAGAAGGCCUUCGGGUUGUAAAACUCUUUCAUCAAUGAUGAUAAUGACAUUAGUUGAAGAAGAAGCUCCGGCUAACUUCGUGCCAGCAGCCGCGGUAAUACGAAGGGGGCUAGCGUUGUUCGGAAUCACUGGGCGUAAAGCGUAUGUAGGCGGAUCAAAAAGUUAGAUGUGAAAUCCCUGGGCUCAACCCAGGAACUGCAUUUAAAACUAGUGAUCUAGAAUUUGGUAGGGGUUAGUAGAAUUUCCAGUGUAGAGGUGAAAUUCGUAGAUAUUGGAAAGAAUACCAGUGGCGAAGGCGACUAACUGGGCCAUUUUUGACGCUGAGAUACGAAAGCGUGGGUAGCAAACAGGAUUAGAUACCCUGGUAGUCCACGCAGUAAACGAUGAGUGCUAGUCGCUGGGACAUUAGUUUCAGUGUCGACGCUAACGCAUUAAGCACUCCGCCUGGGAAGUACGGU